RNAcentral lists this unclassified non-coding RNA (329 nucleotides) under soil metagenome. Its description in RNAcentral is "partial contains 5.8S ribosomal RNA, internal transcribed spacer 2, and large subunit ribosomal RNA". The stretch from base 1 to 120 matches the Rfam family "5.8S ribosomal RNA", at positions 35 to 154 of the family's 154-position model. The record is from RNAcentral.
GAUGAAGAACGUAACGAAAUGCGAUAAGUAAUGUGAAUUGCAGAAUUCAGUGAAUCAUCGAAUCUUUGAACGCACAUUGCGCCCCCUGGUAUUCCGGGGGGCAUGCCUGUUCGAGCGUCAUUACAACCCUCAAGCUCUGCUUGGUGUUGGGCCCCGCCGCCCCGGCGGGCCCUAAAAUCAGUGGCGGUGCCGUCCGGCUCCGAGCGUAGUAAUUCUUCUCGCUCUGGAGGUCCGGGUGUGUGCUCGCCAGCAACCCCCAAUUUUUUUCAGGUUGACCUCGGAUCAGGUAGGGAUACCCGCUGAACUUAAGCAUAUCAAUAAGCGGAGGA